This 1104-nucleotide ribosomal RNA is filed under the name uncultured bacterium. RNAcentral describes it as "bacterial SSU rRNA". It matches the Rfam family "Bacterial small subunit ribosomal RNA", at positions 331 to 1436 of the family's 1533-position model. The record is from RNAcentral.
CCAGACUCCUACGGGAGGCAGCAGUGAGGAAUAUUGGUCAAUGGAGGCAACUCUGAACCAGCCAAGUCGCGUGAAGGAUGAAGGUCUUAUGGAUUGUAAACUUCUUUUGCAAGGGAAUAAAGUGGGGGACGUGUCCUCCUUUGCAUGUACCUUGCGAAUAAGGAUCGGCUAACUCCGUGCCAGCAGCCGCGGUAAUACGGAGGAUCCGAGCGUUAUCCGGAUUUAUUGGGUUUAAAGGGUGCGCAGGCGGGAUGUUAAGUCGGCGGUGAAAUUUUGCAGCUCAACUGUAAAAGUGCCUUCGAUACUGGCUUUCUUGAGUGUGGAUGAAGUAGGCGGAAUUUGUGGUGUAGCGGUGAAAUGCUUAGAUAUCACGGGGAACUCCGAUUGCGCAGGCAGCUUACUAAACCACUACUGACGCUCAUGCACGAAGGCGUGGGGAUCAAACAGGAUUAGAUACCCUGGUAGUCCACGCAGUAAACGAUGAUUACUAGUUGUUUGCGAUACAAUGUAAGCGACUGAGCGAAAGCGUUAAGUAAUCCACCUGGGGAGUACGUUCGCAAGAAUGAAACUCAAAGGAAUUGACGGGGGCCCGCACAAGCGGAGGAACAUGUGGUUUAAUUCGAUGAUACGCGAGGAACCUUACCCGGGCUUGAAAUGCGGCGGACCGGCAGAGAGAUCUGCCUUCCCUUCGGGGCCGCCGUGUAGGUGCUGCAUGGUUGUCGUCAGCUCGUGCCGUGAGGUGUCGGCUUAAGUGCCAUAACGAGCGCAACCCUCAUCAUUAGUUACUAACAGGUCAUGCUGAGGACUCUAGUGAGACUGCCAUCGUAAGAUGCGAGGAAGGUGGGGAUGACGUCAAAUCAGCACGGCCCUUACGUCCGGGGCGACACACGUGUUACAAUGGGUGGUACAAAGGGCAGCUACCUGGCGACAGGAUGCUAAUCUCCAAAACCACUCUCAGUUCGGAUCGGAGUCUGCAACUCGACUCCGUGAAGCUGGAUUCGCUAGUAAUCGCGCAUCAGCCACGGCGCGGUGAAUACGUUCCCGGGCCUUGUACACACCGCCCGUCAAGCCAUGGAAGCCGGGGGUACCUGAAGUCCGUAACCG